AAGGGAAAUCAGAGAUCUAAUCUGGAAAAGAAAUUAAAGAAUGGGUGGUAGGAGGCCUUGGUGUUACCAAUGCCUUUUGAAGGGUUUUGAUAAAGGAGUGGUGAUGGUAUGGGAGGAUGAAGAAUAUGAAUGUUACUGAAGAAAUUGCCAGUGAGUUGCUUGGAGGGUACUAGUCUGUAGUCUGUAAUGACCUAGGAGUGAUAAUGGUGCCUAUAGAAUGUUGGUAUUGAAAUAAAAUUACAGAUUUAAGAGCCACUCCAUUGUGUUGGUAUUGUUAGUUGAAUGGAUUAUACAUGCUUAAAAGUAAUGAGAUAUACUAAAAAACAAAACAAAAAAUCCUUAUAUAGUAUCUAUCACCUUUUCAC
Perognathus longimembris pacificus (Pacific pocket mouse) is the source of this 365-nucleotide long non-coding RNA. RefSeq lists it as uncharacterized. The record is from RefSeq and is a predicted model, not a curated record. Lineage: Eukaryota; Metazoa; Chordata; Mammalia; Rodentia; Heteromyidae. The transcript has 3 exons.